CCUACGGGGGGCAGCAGUGAGGAAUAUUGGUCAAUGGUCGAGAGUCUGAACCAGCCAAGUAGCGUGAAGGAUGACUGCCCUAUGGGUUGUAAACUUCUUUUAUAUGGGAAUAAAACGUUCCACGUGUGGGAUUUUGUAUGUACCAUAUGAAUAAGGAUCGGCUAACUCCGUGCCAGCAGCCGCGGUAAUACGGAGGAUCCGAGCGUUAUCCGGAUUUAUUGGGUUUAAAGGGAGCGUAGGUGGAUUGUUAAGUCAGUUGUGAAAGUUUGCGGCUCAACCGUAAAAUUGCAGUUGAAACUGGCAGUCUUGAGUACAGUAGAGGUGGGCGGAAUUCGUGGUGUAGCGGUGAAAUGCUUAGAUAUCACGAAGAACUCCGAUUGCGAAGGCAGUUCACUGGACUGCAACUGACACUGAGGCUCGAAAGUGUGGGUAUCAAACAGGAUUAGAUACCCUGGUAGUC
RNAcentral lists this ribosomal RNA (460 nucleotides) under uncultured bacterium. RNAcentral describes it as "partial 16S ribosomal RNA". It matches the Rfam family "Bacterial small subunit ribosomal RNA", at positions 338 to 795 of the family's 1533-position model. The record is from RNAcentral.